Cyprinus carpio carpio is the source of this 415-nucleotide long non-coding RNA. The record is from Ensembl. NCBI's taxonomy places the organism in Eukaryota, Metazoa, Chordata, Actinopteri, Cypriniformes, Cyprinidae.
GUUGUAGUUGUUGCUAGUGUAGGUAGUGUUGUAGUUGGUGCUAGUGUAGGUAGUGUCGUAGUUGUAGAUGGUCCCAGAUAAGGCAGGGUUGUAGUUGGUGCUAGUGUAGGUAGUGUUGUAGUUGGUGCUAGUGUAGGUAGUGUUGUAGUUGUAGAUGCUGCCAAAUUAGGCAGGGUUGUAGUUGUAGUUGGUGCCAGAGUAGGCAGUGUUGUAGUUGGUGCUGGUGUAGGUAGUGUUGUAGUUGGUGCUAGUGUAGGUAGUGUUGUAGUUGUAGAUGGUGCCAGAGUAGGCAGGGUUGUAGUUGUAGUUGGUGCUGGUGUAGGUAGUGUUGUAGUUGUAGAUGGUGCCAGAGUAGGCAGGGUUGUAGUUGUAGUUGGUGCCAGAGUAGGCAGUGUUGUAGUUGGUGCUGGUGUAG